This is a long non-coding RNA of Poecilia latipinna (sailfin molly), 566 nucleotides long. RefSeq lists it as uncharacterized. Lineage: Eukaryota; Metazoa; Chordata; Actinopteri; Cyprinodontiformes; Poeciliidae. The record is from RefSeq and is a predicted model, not a curated record. The transcript has 2 exons.
GUCAGGAGUAAAGGCGCCAUCUCCUGGUUAAAACCUCACAGCACAUCGGUUUUAAAAGCAAGAAGCCCGUUCAAAAAGCUGUUCAGUGUUUUCAUAUCUUUGUCUUAUAAAUUAACUUCGACAUAGAAUAUCGGACUUUGACCUUUAGUGGACUUUAUCCAUACAUGUGUUUAUAUGGUAGCAUUAAGUUCUGAACAGUGAGCCUAUUCAUUUAGCUCUACAAUAUGGCUUCCUCUACCCAGUAGAUAUGGUCCUCUUGCCAGGGACCUCCUAGUUCAUGUAGUGACGUCAGAUGUGCUGAGUGACCUGAUGAAGUUUUGGGUCGGGUGGAAACUACCAACAAGAAACCUCAGUGUGGAGGUUGUAACUUCAGCUUCUGCAGUAGUUCUCACCUGCUUCUUUCAAGUUGAAGCUCCCCAGCCACUACCAGACCUACAGGACGUCUCACCAGGACUUGGUGAUGGUCCUGAGUUCCACAAGUUCUUGCUUUGGACUUGUGUGGAGGCAAAUGACAUCAACUUCUUGCCGUCACUCCCUCUUGUAAAAUAAAAUCCCUUUUAAAAGGA